GGCUCUUUAGCUCAGUUGGUUAGAGCGUUCCCCUCAUAAGGGAAAGGUCGAUUGUUCAAGUCAAUCAAGAGCCA
Molecule: transfer RNA, 74 nt
Filed under: Priestia megaterium
Lineage: Bacteria; Bacillati; Bacillota; Bacilli; Caryophanales; Bacillaceae
Also listed under: 1 other name
Description: Bacillus megaterium tRNA-Met
Rfam family: tRNA
About the family: Transfer RNA (tRNA) molecules are approximately 80 nucleotides in length.
Source: RNAcentral